GAUGCCCGCUCUCUUCUUUCUUAACACAUGCGAGUCGAACGGAAAGGCUCCUGCUUUCCGGGGUACUCGAGUGGCGAACGGGUGAGUAACACGUGGGUGAUCUGCCCUGCACUUCGGGAUAAGCCUGGGAAACUGGGUCUAAUACCGGAUAGGACGAUGGUUUGGAUGCCAUUGUGGAAAGAUUUUUCGGUGUGGGGUGAGCUCGCGGCCUAUCAGCUUGUUGGUGGGGUAAUGGCCUACCAAGGCGUCGACGGGUAGCCGGCCUGAGAGGGUGUACGGCCACAUUGGGACUGAGAUACGGCCCAGACUCCUACGGGAGGCAGCAGUGGGGAAUAUUGCACAAUGGACGGAAGCCUGAUGCAGCGACGCCGCGUGGGGGAUGACGGCAUUCGGGUUGUAAACUCCUUUCGCUAGGGACGAAGCGCAAGUGACGGUACCUGGAGAAGAAGCAACGGCUAACUACGUG
RNAcentral lists this ribosomal RNA (466 nucleotides) under uncultured bacterium. RNAcentral describes it as "partial 16S ribosomal RNA". It matches the Rfam family "Bacterial small subunit ribosomal RNA", at positions 28 to 507 of the family's 1533-position model. The record is from RNAcentral.